Manis javanica (Malayan pangolin) is the source of this 1279-nucleotide RNA transcript. It is a transcript of the gene named FXYD domain containing ion transport regulator 4, with no coding region annotated. Lineage: Eukaryota; Metazoa; Chordata; Mammalia; Pholidota; Manidae. The record is from RefSeq and is a predicted model, not a curated record.
GGACGAAGAGGCGGACGAGAAAGGACGUCGCCGGACGUUUCAGUUGCGACCUGUCUCCGCUGCUCCCUUCUAAGCUCAGGCCACCCCCACUCUUUCAAGACGUCCUCACAUGCAGAGCUAACAAUGCCUCUCCCCGUGAAGCCCUCCAGAGCCGCCGUGCUGCGGGCUCUAGGGCCUCGCCGGGCGCCGCCGCCUCCUGCUGCUUCCCUCCGCAGCCCUCGGCUGGCUGGCUCGCCCGCUCCUCCCUGGCCGGCUCUGCUCACCAGCAGUGCUGUCCCUUCACCUCAGCUAUCCCUCACAGAUCUGAGGCCCCAGUUCCUCAAGACCAAGACCUCCAGAACACCGUGACACGCGGCAGUGGAAACGGAUAAACGGAGGGACAUAACCCCCACCAACCGGCCAAGUCCGGACCACAGCGCGAUCCUACGGGAAAUUAAUGGCUUUGAGGAUGCAACCUAUUGCUUCACAGAGCUAUAGGUACUGUUUGGAGAAGGAGGAAAGCAGCUGUGGCAGUGACUGACAGGAGCAGAGGAGGGUGUCCUCGAUAUCUGAGAGGUAUUCAUUCUACAAAUACAUAUUGAGGGCUGACCAAGCAGCAGCCCUGUGCUCCUGCCCCACACCUUGAAGUAUUGUUGCCCUGGGUGGGGCCGCUGGGUUUAAAGAGCUGGAACCCGCCUGGAUUUAACAGCCCCAACAGCCUUCUGAGACCUGUUCACAACGCUUGUUCACAGCCCUGUUCUACAGCUGUGUCAUGGAGAAAGUGACCCAGGGCCUUCUCCUCAUGCUGGUUGGCCUGCCUGCCUUCGAAGCCAAUAACCUGAUUGAUAAAGACAGUCCCUUCUUCUAUGAUUGGGAAGGCCUACAGCUGGGCGGGAUGAUCUGCGCAGGGCUCCUGUGCAUCGCUGGAAUCGUUUUUGCCCUAAGUGGCAAAUGCAGAUGCAAGUACAACCAGAAGCAGAGUUCCCAACCUGAAAAAGCUGUUCCACUCAUCACUCCAGGUGAAACAGGCUCCUGAGUGCUUCCAGGCACUCAGGCAGGGUGCCCACAGAAUUGGAGAGCUAAUAAAUAUUAUAGUGCAUGUAAGGCUGUACCAGUACCUGCUGAGCACAGGACCAGCUGUGUGGCACUCUGGGCACCAGCUCCCAUGCUGUUUUCCUCUCUACUUGAGGGCCUUACUUUCCAUGGCACCCUUUCUCUCCAAGGGUGGGCCCUUAGGCUCCCUUUGGACUGGGAGGCUGUCACAAAGUUUAUCUCAGGAUUAAACUGGUCUACUCCUCCC